GACGAACGCUGGCGGCGUGCUUAACACAUGCAAGUCGUACGGUAAGGCCCUUUCGGGGGUCCACGAGUGGCGAACGGGUGAGUAACACGUGAGUAACCUGCCCACAACUUUGGGAUAACGCUAGGAAACUGGUGCUAAUACUGGAUAUGUGCUCCUGCUGCAUGGUGGGGGUUGGAAAGCUCCGGCGGUUGUGGAUGGACUCGCGGCCUAUCAGCUUGUUGGUGGGGUAGUGGCCUACCAAGGCGGCGACGGGUAGCCGGCCUGGGAGGGUGACCGGCCACAUUGGGACUGAGAUACGGCCCAGACUCCUACGGGAGGCAGCAGUGGGGAAUAUUGCACAAUGGGCGCAAGCCUGAUGCAGCAACGCCGCGUGCGGGAUGACGGCCUUCGGGUUGGAAACCGCGUUCAGCAGGGACGAAGCUUUUUGUGACGGUACCUGCAGAAGAAGCACCGGCUAACUACGUG
This 465-nucleotide ribosomal RNA is filed under the name uncultured bacterium. RNAcentral describes it as "partial 16S ribosomal RNA". It matches the Rfam family "Bacterial small subunit ribosomal RNA", at positions 28 to 507 of the family's 1533-position model. The record is from RNAcentral.